GCCUACGGGGGGCAGCAGUGAGGAAUAUUGGUCAAUGGGCGCGAGCCUGAACCAGCCAAGUCGCGUGAGGGAAGACGGUCCUAUGGAUUGUAAACCUCUUUUGUCAGGGAACAAAGGCGGGGACGCGUCCCCGGAUGAGUGUACCUGAAGAAAAAGCAUCGGCUAACUCCGUGCCAGCAGCCGCGGUAAUACGGAGGAUGCGAGCGUUAUCCGGAUUUAUUGGGUUUAAAGGGUACGCAGGCGGUCUGUUAAGUCAGCGGUCAAAGCCCGGGGCUCAACCCCGGCCCGCCGUUGAAACUGGCAGG
This 305-nucleotide ribosomal RNA is filed under the name uncultured bacterium. Its description in RNAcentral is "bacterial SSU rRNA". It matches the Rfam family "Bacterial small subunit ribosomal RNA", at positions 337 to 640 of the family's 1533-position model. The record is from RNAcentral.